UUGAACCUGUGUCUCCUGCACUGGCAGGUGGAUUCUUUACCAACUGAGCCACCAGGGAAGCCCAGGAAGUUGAGGUAGCCUGCCCAAAGAACCACAACUUCACGCAGCAGAGCCAGGGAUCUACAUGCAGGUGUUUUCUGGCUGUAACACUUUUUUUUUUUUUUCCUGCUUUAAGAAAAUAGGCAUUGGGUGCCUGAGCACUUGUGUUUUGAAGCAGAUAUUUCUCCCAGGAAAACAGGUGAGCAAGAAGAAGAAGAAGAAACUUGCUCCUAUGUCUCUCCUAUCCUAGGAGGUAGACUGAAGUCUGGGGCUGACGGAAGACUCCUCUCUGCUCUCUGGUCCACUGCCGACAGCGCUGGCUACAUGAAAUGCACGUGGUCCCUUUGAAUGGAAAUCAGGCCUGCGGAGCGCAGGAGGGUGGGGGUGAUAAAAGAUGACUCAAGGGUGAGCUAGCUCCCACCCACUCUCCCACACUGCCGUUCUGAUUAGGCCUUCCUCUUUUCGAUCCCUUAAGAGAGAAAAGCACCCAUGAGCAGAGCUGCAGAUAUUAAUAAUAACUGCUAUAGAGCUUUGUUUUUGUUUGACUCAUGUUUACAUUGCUGGGGAAGAACCCACUUGUCUGGAAAGACGAAGCAGGUUGAAUCAAUUAAAAACAUGUCCAACAGUCGGGCAACUUCCCAUUUUUUGAAAGAAGUCAAGAAGAGGGGUUAGAAAAGUCACUAUUACUUGUACUGUCUGCCAGGAGGAGCUGUGUCAAGGUCACCGGGAGCCCGCCUCCCCCAGACCUCCACGUGCCCCUGGGAGGAUGCACUGUUUCUGGAUACCCAGCGUCUCCUUCCACUUCACACACACAUUCACCAUCAGGGCCCUCGGCUACAAAGAGAUGAGCCCGAGGCUGCUGCCCAGGUGCGUGAGAACCUCUGCUGGGCUCCCAAGGAGACUGGGGCACACAGACAGGCUCAUGUGACCCAGAGAUGGCCACACCCCCACACCUCUCCCCAGGAACGCCUUCAUGUCCAAACCCCUCGAGAGCAGGGGCCUGAUGAGGACCGAGCACUGAAACGCAUCUGUGCCCGCAGCGUUCUCAGCUACACAGCUGCUCUCCUCCUGGCACCCCGGCUGGCCCGUGGCACAGCACACCUGCCCCUGUCUCUCUCCCCCCGAUCUCGGUGGCCUCCCUCCAGGUCCGUGGGUGCACCUCGUCAGCCAUGGUCCUUCCUCCAGGCCUCUGGGGUCAGAGGCCAGCUUCUCAUGGAGGACUUCCCUCCCCACUCUCAAACACCUUUCUGCGCACUCCCCAGGACCCUGCUUUCUCUCUCGGCACCUCUCACGUUGCAGGCUUUCCCCGUUCGCCUGUUCUCUGUUGUCACAGUGCACUCCCUGAAGGCAGGGAUUGUUGUUGGCUGGGUUCACUGUGUCCAGCAUAGAACCUAACACGAAUUAGAUGCUCAACCAUUGCUGAAUGAAGGAAUUGCCUAUGCCGGGCAACGCGCUUGGUGCAGGCUGGGAGAAUAGGUAUGGGGAAGGAUCUGUGCCCUGGAGACCGCCUGGAGGAGGAGACCGUGUACCACAGCCCGGGGAUGUGUUCACACAAUGUCCAGACGCACACCAGGAGAUGUAGGUUCGAUCCCUGGUCCAGGAAGAUCCCACAUGCCACAGAGCCUGUGCACCAUAACUACUGAACCUGUGCUCUAGAGCCCGUGCUCCGCAACAACGGAAGCCUCUGCACCAAGAAGCCCGCACACCACAGCUAGAGAGCAGCCCCUGCCCUGUGCAACUAGGGAAGAGCCCGUGCAGCAACGAGGACCCAGCGCAGCCAACAAA
Bubalus bubalis (water buffalo) is the source of this 1824-nucleotide long non-coding RNA. RefSeq lists it as uncharacterized. The transcript is spliced from 3 exons. The record is from RefSeq and is a predicted model, not a curated record. Lineage: Eukaryota; Metazoa; Chordata; Mammalia; Artiodactyla; Bovidae.